UCCGAAUUGGUGUAGUGGCCAACAUUUGACGCUCUCAUCUGCCUCUUAUCCUCACUUGAGAUUUAAGUGCAGUAUCAGUACCGUCAAGCCCGGGGUUCGAUUCCCCGAUUCGGAG
Non-coding RNA from Xylaria castorea, 115 nucleotides. The record is from the annotation of a GenBank genome assembly. Lineage: Eukaryota; Fungi; Ascomycota; Sordariomycetes; Xylariales; Xylariaceae.